Molecule: transfer RNA, 84 nt
Filed under: Chloroflexota bacterium
Lineage: Bacteria; Bacillati; Chloroflexota
Description: Chloroflexi bacterium (groundwater metagenome) tRNA-Leu
Rfam family: tRNA
About the family: Transfer RNA (tRNA) molecules are approximately 80 nucleotides in length. Their secondary structure includes four short double-helical elements and three loops (D, anti-codon, and T loops). Further hydrogen bonds mediate the characteristic L-shaped molecular structure. tRNAs have two regions of fundamental functional importance: the anti-codon, which is responsible for specific mRNA codon recognition, and the 3' end, to which the tRNAs corresponding amino acid is attached (by aminoacyl-tRNA synthetases). tRNAs cope with the degeneracy of the genetic code in two manners: having more than one tRNA (with a specific anti-codon) for a particular amino acid; and 'wobble' base-pairing, i.e. permitting non-standard base-pairing at the 3rd anti-codon position.
Source: RNAcentral
GGGGAUGUGUCGAAAUUGGCAGACGAGCAUGGCUUAGGACCAUGUGGGUUUACCCCCGUGAGAGUUCGAGUCUCUCCAUCCCCA